CACCAGCUCAUUGUCCGUUCUACAGUUUAGGCUGAUGAACAUUGUUGGACUACCCAAGCUACGUAUGCUAUGUGGCUAGUUGGGGUUAUCGUUGUUUGCGGGACUGUUUAGUUCUCUGAACUUUCUCUGGUCAUAGCAUUCACCAGGUUUAGUUAAACUUGGAGCUUAGUUCUGGUCUGCCGUUUUCUGCCUUUUCCCUUUUGUUCUUUAUUAAACAUCAUGAAUUGCACUUCAGUUUCCGGCAUGUUCUUCCGCCUGACAUAAACCUACCAUUUGAAGGAGAAAAGAACUACCGUUGGACCACUGCUGACCAGAUAUUAUUUGUGUGGUACAGCAGGUACAGCAGAUUUGCUGUGUAUUUUAACACCACAAUGUCACCACUAACCAAAGAUUUCCAGCAAACAGUGCUGUCGACAGAACCUGACAAAGAACUCUGACAAAGAUCUAAAGGACGAAUGUGGACGGAAAUAAAGAGAGGUAUUCGUCCCUAUUGUACUGCGCACACAUCCAAAUGUCUAAUAAAGUAAUCACAGAGUUU
Silurus meridionalis is the source of this 538-nucleotide long non-coding RNA. RefSeq lists it as uncharacterized. Lineage: Eukaryota; Metazoa; Chordata; Actinopteri; Siluriformes; Siluridae. The record is from RefSeq and is a predicted model, not a curated record. The transcript is spliced from 2 exons.